CUCCCUCGUUGCUGAUCUCAGGUUCGAUAAUGCCAAUAUCGCACCACCUCGCCUAAGACCAACUUCGAUGAAGCGACGGGCGGUGUGUG
RNAcentral lists this ribosomal RNA (89 nucleotides) under uncultured archaeon. RNAcentral's name for it is "partial 16S ribosomal RNA". The record is from RNAcentral.